RNAcentral lists this long non-coding RNA (1468 nucleotides) under Olea europaea subsp. europaea. Lineage: Eukaryota; Viridiplantae; Streptophyta; Magnoliopsida; Lamiales; Oleaceae. The record is from RNAcentral.
GGAUAAGGUUAAAAUAGAUUGAACCUUUUUGUCUACUUUAACUUUUAUCCUUGCCUGAAAGGGAACACAGGUUCUAUGGCCAAAAAAGAUUAAAUUAUGGGUCACAUGGUUCCCACCAAGCACACUCAAAACAACAAGGAUAUUAUCUAAUUGAGCAAAAUUAUUAGAGAUAGAAAUCCUAUCCUUGCCCAACAUUUUGUAAAAGGUGACCAUUCAACCCGUAAUGAAAGGAGUACUUUUCAAACGUGGAGAAUCGUCUUUGGAGGACUGAUUAUUCGGGAAAGUCUCUGUUUGGAAGACCUUCCAAACAUCAUUCUCUCUGAUUAUUUUCAACUUUGGCUCGAACUUACUAGGAUCUAUAGUGUGAUUAUUUGGAGUUUCUGGUGCUGAUUGCAACACAGAAUACUCUUCAGAAGUGGGCUUCAUUAUCCCUGCUUUUCAUCUAACUGUUUUGCAAGCCAAAAUUUGUCAAUAAGGAAAUUGUGUUGUACCUAGAACUCUACUUCUAAUCUCUUCAAAUCGAAGUUAAGUUUACGUAGGAAUUCUAAUACCUGACUUCCUUAACAUUCCAGCAAGUUUUACUGCAUCCCAGGAAAUGGUCAAUGAAUGCUUGCUUGGCUUAACUUCUAUGUACUUAUAAACAGUGAUUCCUAAAGAAUAUGUGGUUAAAGAAUAGAUAAAAGUUGUGGGUCAUGAAGAAUGUAUGGUUAAAAAUGAUGUUUAACCAACUUAUAAGGACUUAAAUAGCACUACUAAACAAGCGCUUAAUUUCUAGUAGCAUUAACUUAAUGAAAGCAAGAAAUGUAUUUAGAGUUUUCAAUUUCCUAGGAGGCGUACGAAGGAUAUAAAUUUUAUGGCUCCUUGGUAAUACUGCGCAAAAAACCUUAUUUCCCCUAAACUUUAGGAAUAGUCGCACAGUUUGUGACUACUCUAGAAAUUCAAACCAUAUAACUUCUGCGGGGGCUCUGAAUCGCGAAUUCCCAUAAUGAGUUACAAAUUUCCCUUGUGGGCAGCAGUUUCAAUGCAAGCCUUUUCAAGUCUGUACUAUGAAACACAGACAGACAGAGUGCAAUUAUGUUGACAACUCUCGAAGGACAAAAUUGUCAAUGAAGGCCUAGGAGAAAGAUAGACUCUAGGAAAAAUUCAAAAUUUAUUUACUACUCUAAUGCCUUGAAAGAAGAAAAUUUUCUUUACUUAAUCAUUUGAAAAAUAUCGGCUCUUUCUACUCAAACUAUCCCAUGUUAACUAAAAAACCUAGAUAAAGUCAUAUAAUUCUCUGAUUAAAUCUUGAAACGCUCAUAAGUCAUCAAUAAAUUCACUACAAAUCAUUUAUUUGUGAGCUUAAUUUUCGGUAUUAAGUUGUCGUGAUAUUUGUCCUUACAGAUCAGUGAUCCUAUGCGUAUUGUUAUGUGUGCAGGUUUUGGCAUGUAUAUUUGGAUAGAAUGAAAUAUGUGGCAUUUUAACUGGA